CAAGGACCUCGGGAUCACGACCCAAGCCAAAAGCAGACACUCAACCACUGAACCACCCAGUUACCUGUGAUCAACCAUGGUUGGGAAGUAGAUUGGGAAGUAGAUGAUCCUCCUUCCAAGGAAUCAGCAAAAGGUCAACAGUAGCCUAACUCAAUCACUUCGCUUCGCUUCAUCUCAUCCUAGGCAUUUUGUCAUUCACAUCAUUGCAAGAAGAAGGCUCAGGUCGAUCUCAGAGCCAUGAGUUCAAGCCCCACAUUGUGUUCCAUGCUGAGUGUGG
Molecule: long non-coding RNA, 277 nt
Organism: Canis lupus familiaris (dog)
Lineage: Eukaryota; Metazoa; Chordata; Mammalia; Carnivora; Canidae
Exons: 3
Source: RefSeq, a predicted model, not a curated record